RNAcentral lists this ribosomal RNA (320 nucleotides) under uncultured eukaryote. RNAcentral's name for it is "partial 18S ribosomal RNA". It matches the Rfam family "Eukaryotic small subunit ribosomal RNA", at positions 1470 to 1796 of the family's 1831-position model. The record is from RNAcentral.
CCCCUAGAUGUUCUGGGCCGCACGCGCGCUACACUGAACAGUUCAACAAGUCUUAACCUUGGCCGAUAGGUCUGGGUAAUCUUUGACCGCUGUUCGUGAUUGGGAUAGACCUUUGCAAUUAUGGGUCUUCAACGAGGAAUUCCUAGUAAACGCAAGUCAUCAGCUUGCAUUGAUUACGUCCCUGCCCUUUGUACACACCGCCCGUCGCACCUACCGAUUGAAUGGUCCGGUGAAAUCUCGGGACGGCGGCUUGGUCGCUUGCGUCCGACUGCUGAAACUUGAUUAAACCAUAUCAUUUAGAGGAAGGUGAAGUCGUAACA